AGUGAACGCUGGCGGUAGGCCUAACACAUGCAAGUCGAACGGCAGCACAGUAAGAGCUUGCUCUUACGGGUGGCGAGUGGCGGACGGGUGAGGAAUACAUCGGAAUCUACUUUUUCGUGGGGGAUAACGUAGGGAAACUUACGAUAAUAUAGCAUACGACCUACGGGUGAAAGCAGGGGAUCUUCGGACCUUGCGUGAUUGAAUGAGCCGAUGUCGGAUUGGCUAGUUGGCGGGGUAAAGGCCCACCAAGGCGACGAUCGGCAGCUGGUCUGAGAGGAUGGUCAGCCACACUGGAACGGAGACACGGUCCAGACUACUACGGGAGGCAGCAGUGGGGAAUAUUGGACAAUGGGGGCAAGCCUGAUCCAGCCAGACCGCGUGGGUGAAGAAGGCCUUCGGUUUGUAAAGCCCUUUUGUUGGGAAAGAAAAGCAGCAGGUUAAUACCCCGCUGUUCUGACGGUACCCAAAGAAUAAGCACCGGCUAACUUCGUG
RNAcentral lists this ribosomal RNA (492 nucleotides) under uncultured bacterium. Its description in RNAcentral is "partial 16S ribosomal RNA". It matches the Rfam family "Bacterial small subunit ribosomal RNA", at positions 29 to 507 of the family's 1533-position model. The record is from RNAcentral.